Molecule: ribosomal RNA, 1648 nt
Filed under: Klebsiella pneumoniae
Lineage: Bacteria; Pseudomonadati; Pseudomonadota; Gammaproteobacteria; Enterobacterales; Enterobacteriaceae
Description: bacterial LSU rRNA
Rfam family: Bacterial large subunit ribosomal RNA
Source: RNAcentral
UGACAUAAGUAACGAUAAAGCGGGUGAAAAGCCCGCUCGCCGGAAGACCAAGGGUUCCUGUCCAACGUUAAUCGGGGCAGGGUGAGUCGACCCCUAAGGCGAGGCCGAAAGGCGUAGUCGAUGGGAAACAGGUUAAUAUUCCUGUACUUGGUGUUACUGCGAAGGGGGGACGGAGAAGGCUAUGUUAGCCGGGCGACGGUUGUCCCGGUUUAAGCAUGUAGGCUGAUUGUCCAGGCAAAUCCGGAUAAUCAAGGCUGAGGUGUGAUGACGAGGCACUACGGUGCUGAAGUAACAAAUGCCCUGCUUCCAGGAAAAGCCUCUAAGCAUCAGGUAACAUUAAAUCGUACCCCAAACCGACACAGGUGGUCAGGUAGAGAAUACCAAGGCGCUUGAGAGAACUCGGGUGAAGGAACUAGGCAAAAUGGUGCCGUAACUUCGGGAGAAGGCACGCUGGUGUGUAGGUGAAGUCCCUGCGGAUGGAGCUGAGACCAGUCGAAGAUACCAGCUGGCUGCAACUGUUUAUUAAAAACACAGCACUGUGCAAACACGAAAGUGGACGUAUACGGUGUGACGCCUGCCCGGUGCCGGAAGGUUAAUUGAUGGGGUUAUCCGUAAGGAGAAGCUCUUGAUCGAAGCCCCGGUAAACGGCGGCCGUAACUAUAACGGUCCUAAGGUAGCGAAAUUCCUUGUCGGGUAAGUUCCGACCUGCACGAAUGGCGUAAUGAUGGCCAGGCUGUCUCCACCCGAGACUCAGUGAAAUUGAACUCGCUGUGAAGAUGCAGUGUACCCGCGGCAAGACGGAAAGACCCCGUGAACCUUUACUAUAGCUUGACACUGAACAUUGAGCCUUGAUGUGUAGGAUAGGUGGGAGGCUUUGAAGCGUGGACGCCAGUCUGCGUGGAGCCAACCUUGAAAUACCACCCUUUAAUGUUUGAUGUUCUAACGUUGGCCCCUGACCGGGGUUGCGGACAGUGUCUGGUGGGUAGUUUGACUGGGGCGGUCUCCUCCCAAAGCGUAACGGAGGAGCACGAAGGUUAGCUAAUCCUGGUCGGACAUCAGGAGGUUAGUGCAAUGGCAUAAGCUAGCUUGACUGCGAGCGUGACGGCGCGAGCAGGUGCGAAAGCAGGUCAUAGUGAUCCGGUGGUUCUGAAUGGAAGGGCCAUCGCUCAACGGAUAAAAGGUACUCCGGGGAUAACAGGCUGAUACCGCCCAAGAGUUCAUAUCGACGGCGGUGUUUGGCACCUCGAUGUCGGCUCAUCACAUCCUGGGGCUGAAGUAGGUCCCAAGGGUAUGGCUGUUCGCCAUUUAAAGUGGUACGCGAGCUGGGUUUAGAACGUCGUGAGACAGUUCGGUCCCUAUCUGCCGUGGGCGCUGGAGAAUUGAGGGGGGCUGCUCCUAGUACGAGAGGACCGGAGUGGACGCAUCACUGGUGUUCGGGUUGUCAUGCCAAUGGCACUGCCCGGUAGCUAAAUGCGGAAGAGAUAAGUGCUGAAAGCAUCUAAGCACGAAACUUGCCCCGAGAUGAGUUCUCCCUGAGACUUUAAGUCUCCUGAAGGAACGUUAAAGACGAUGACGUUGAUAGGCCGGGUGUGUAAGCGCAGCGAUGCGUUGAGCUAACCGGUACUAAUGAACCGUGAGGCUUAACCUU